GAUGAAGAACGUAGCGAAAUGCGAUACUUGGUGUGAAUUGCAGAAUCCCGUGAACCAUCGAGUCUUUGAACGCAAGUUGCGCCCGAAGCCAUCAGGUUGAGGGCACGUCUGCCUGGGCGUCACAUAUCGUUGCUCGAUGCCUAUCGCAUUGCGAUAGGACUUAGGGCGAAUGAUGGCUUCCCGUGAGCGUUGUUGCCUCGCGGUUGGUUGAAAAUCGAGUGCAUGGUGUCGGGUGUACCAUGAUGGAUGGUGGUUGAGUGAUGAUGCUCGAGACCAAUCAUGGGUAACUCCACCAGAAUUGGGCUCGGUGACCCACAUGCGUCCCUUGGAUGCUCCCUAAGGAGACCUCAGGUCAGGCGGGGCUACCCGCUGAGUUUAAGCAUAUCAAUAAGCGGAGGA
Molecule: unclassified non-coding RNA, 399 nt
Filed under: soil metagenome
Description: partial contains 5.8S ribosomal RNA, internal transcribed spacer 2, and large subunit ribosomal RNA
Rfam family: 5.8S ribosomal RNA (bases 1-122)
Source: RNAcentral